GCACGGGGUCGUGCCGGAAACUUGCCGGCACGGUACGGUACGGUGGAUGCUGAGCCGUGCCGAUGCGUGCCGAUCAAAAAAAUUCUUGUGUGCCGACACAUAAUAGCAUGAAAUAUUUAUUUUCUUUAGCAACAAAAUAUUCUAACUAUUUAUUAUAUCUUUUUAUCACAUUUUUUGAACUUUAUUGAGAAAAUUACUUACUAAUUUAAAAACUAGAGGGUUUUGAGCUGUGCCAUCGGUACGGGGUCUGUAUCGUGCCGGUAUCUUGUUGGCACAGCACGGCACGGUGGAUAUGGCCCGUGCCGACGGGCACUUAAAACCUUGAGCCACGCAACACCCAUCGUGCCGGA
This 350-nucleotide long non-coding RNA is filed under the name Ananas comosus (pineapple). RNAcentral's name for it is "long non-coding RNA (ACOM_LNC024328)". Lineage: Eukaryota; Viridiplantae; Streptophyta; Magnoliopsida; Poales; Bromeliaceae. The record is from RNAcentral.